CGCUUGUUAGCGAUUGAC
This 18-nucleotide small nuclear RNA is filed under the name Arabidopsis thaliana (thale cress). Its description in RNAcentral is "snRNA_17986". The record is from RNAcentral. Lineage: Eukaryota; Viridiplantae; Streptophyta; Magnoliopsida; Brassicales; Brassicaceae.